AGAGUUUGAUCCUGGDCUCACAAUCAACGCUGGCGGCGUGCCUAACACAUGCAAGUCCAACGAGAAACUGGAGCAAUCCAUGAGUAAAGUGGCGACCGGGUGAGUAACACGUGACCAAUCUACCCUUGAGUGGGGGAUAACCGCGGGAAACCGCGGCUAAUACCGCAUAACAUCUUUGAAACGCAGGUUUUGGAGAUCAAAGGAUCAAUCCGCUUAUGGAGGAGGUCGCGGCUGAUUAGCUAGUUGGUAGGGUAAUGGCCUACCAAGGCUUAGAUCGGUAGCCGGCCUGAGAGGGCGCACGGCCACACUGGAACUGAAACACGGUCCAGACUCCUACGGGAGGCAGCAGUGGGGAAUUUUGCGCAAUGGGGGAAACCCUGACGCACCAACGCCGCGUGGAGGAUGAAGUCCCUUGGGACGUAAACUCCUUUCGACCGGGACGAUAAUGACGGUACCGGUGGAAGAAGCACCGGCUAACUCUGUGCCAGCAGCCGCGGUAAUACAGAGGGGGCCAGCGUUGCUCGGAAUUAUUGGGGCGUAAAGGGCGCGUAGGCGGUGCGGUAAGUCACCCUGUGAAAUCUCCCGGCUUAACUGGGAGCCUGCAGGCGAAACUGCCCGUGCUGGGAGUGUGGGAGAGGUGCGUGGAAUUCCCGGUGUAGCGGUGAAAUGCGUAGAUAUCGGGAGGGACCACCUGUGGCGAACGCGGCGCACUGCACCACAACUGACGCUGAGGCGCGAACGCUAUGGGAGCAAACAGGAUUAGAUAC
This 767-nucleotide ribosomal RNA is filed under the name uncultured soil bacterium. RNAcentral's name for it is "bacterial SSU rRNA". It matches the Rfam family "Bacterial small subunit ribosomal RNA", at positions 8 to 785 of the family's 1533-position model. The record is from RNAcentral.